AGGACGAACGCUGGCGGCGUGCUUAACACAUGCAAGUCGAGCGGUAAGGCUCCUUCGGGAGUACACGAGCGGCGAACGGGUGAGUAACACGUGAGCAAUCUGCCCUUCACAUCGGGAUAACUUCCGGAAACGGAAGCUAAUACCGAAUACGACCACCGGUGGCAUCUCCUGGUGGUGGAAAGUUCCGGCGGUGAAGGAUGAGCUCGCGGCCUAUCAGCUUGUUGGUGAGGUAAUGGCCCACCAAGGCGACGACGGGUA
RNAcentral lists this ribosomal RNA (258 nucleotides) under uncultured bacterium. RNAcentral describes it as "partial small subunit ribosomal RNA". It matches the Rfam family "Bacterial small subunit ribosomal RNA", at positions 26 to 285 of the family's 1533-position model. The record is from RNAcentral.